RNAcentral lists this long non-coding RNA (5245 nucleotides) under Macaca fascicularis (crab-eating macaque). RNAcentral's name for it is "lncRNA (ENSMFAG00000055117.1)". The record is from RNAcentral. Lineage: Eukaryota; Metazoa; Chordata; Mammalia; Primates; Cercopithecidae.
AAAAAAAGGAGGAAAUACUCAUAACAAUUACAGUCUUCAUAGCUGCAGCUGGUCACGUGAUCCUAGCUGGUAUUGAUGACUACCUUCUCUUUUUCCCUCACCCCCCAUCCCGAGACAGGGUCUUGCUGUGUCACCCAGGCUGGAGUACAGUGGCACGACCUCGGCUCACUGCACACUCCACCUCCUGGGUUCAAGCAAUUCUCCUGCCUCAGCCUCCCGAGUAGCUGGGAUUACAGGUGCCCACCACCACACCUGGCUAAUUUUUGUAUUUUUAGUAGACUUGGGGUUUCAUCGUGUUGGCCAGGCUGGUCUCAAACUCCUGACCUUGUGAUCUACCUGCCUUGUCCUCCCAAAGUGCUGGGAUUACAGGCGUAAGCCACCGCACGCAGCCAACUACCUUCUACUACCCAUUCUGUAUUCCCUGUGACUUCAGCAAGCACCUCAGCAGGUCAUCGUUUUCUUCCAGUGGACUGACCCAAACCUUCAUUCUUGAAGGGUCUAGGUCAUUUGUAGUUCUCCCUGGAUUGGGCUGUUGUAGUUUCCCAUUGACCUUAAUCACAGGGCAUGAUAAUACUAAGGGACGCCCUAAUGAAUCUCCUGUAUUCCAUGCGUACUCUUCCUUACCUCCAUUGUGGUGGAGUAGUAGACUAAUUUCAUCUUAAUAGUACAGGUGAAUCAUCCCAGCCAAUACUGUGACUCCCUUCUUAGCCUGUUGACUUAAAGGUAGAAGGAGUCCAAAGUGUCCAGGUAGCAAUCUUCCAGUUUAAUGGAAUCGUUGUGUCUCCUGGCAGCAACAUUCCUCCCUCUGGAACUAAGACUUCUAGGCCAGCAGAAGGCCUAGAAGACAGGCCUAUUGUGGGGACAGGAAGCAAAAAUUUUGCUAGUGGAUCACUAGCGGCGACAGUGAGUGGUGCCACUUCCACUUCCACACCUUGAUUCCUGGACCCGUGAAUCCUGGCUAUGGGAGAAACAGUACCAUAUACUGGAUGCUGAUUCAGAGCAUACAUGGCCUUCUGGUGAACUUUGCCCCAGCCCUGCAAAGUAUUGUCACUUAGUUGGCAUUGUAAUUCUGACUUCAAAAGACCAUUCCACUGUCCUAUCAAUCCAGCUGCUUCAGGAUGAUGGGCAACAUGGUAAGACCAGUGAAUUUCAUGAGCAUAUGCCCACUGCCACACUUUUUUUUUUUUUUUUUUUGAGAUGGAGUCUUGCUCUGUCGCCCAGGCUGGAGUGCAACAGUGCUAUCUCAGCUCACGGCAACCUCUGCCUCCCGGGUUCAAGCGAUUCUCCUGCCUCAGCCUCCUGAGUAGAUGAGGUUACAGGUUCUGGCCACCUCGCCUGGCUAAUUUUUUUUUUUUGAGAUGGAGUUUCACUCUGUCACCCAGGCUGGAGUUCAGUGGCAUAAUCUCAGCUCACUGCAACCUCCAACUCCCGGGUUCAAGUGAUUCUCCUGCCUCAGUCUCCUAAGUAGCUGGAAUUGCAAACACCUGCCACCAUGCCCAGCUAAUUUUUGUAUUUUUAGUAGGGAUGGGAUUUCACCAUGUUGGACCAGACUGGUCUUGAACUCCUGGCCUCAGGUGAUCCCCCCGCCUUGGCCUCCCAAAGUGCUGAGAUUACAGGCAUUAGCCACCAUGCCUGGCCCCGACUAAUUUUUGUGUUUUUAGUAGAGACAGGGUUUCACCAUCUUGGCCAGGCUGCUCUCGAACUCCUGACCUCGUGAUCCACCUGCCUUGGCCUGCCAAAGUGCUGGAAUUACAGGCGUGAGCCACCGUGCCUGGCCUGCCGCACUUCUUUAGCCAUAAAGUGAGUGCUUUGGUCAGAGGCAGUGCUGUGUGGAAUACCAUGAUGGUGGAUAAGGCAUUCUGUGAGUCCACGGUUGGUAGUCUUGGCAGAAGCAUUGCGUGCAGGAUAGCAAACCCAUAUCUAGAGUAAGCGUCUAUUCCAGUGAGGACAAACCUUUGUCUUUUCCAUGAUGGAACGGGUCCAGUAUAAUCAACCUGCCACCAGGUAGCUGGCUGAUUACCCCAAGGAAUGGUGCCAUAUCGAGGGCUCAGUGUUGGUCUCUGCUGCUGGCAAAUUGGGCACUCAGCAGUGGCCGUAGCCAGGUCAUCCUUGGUGAGUGGAAGUCCAUGUUGCAUAAUCUCCAUCCCUGCCACCGUGGCCAUUUUGUUCAUCGGCCCAUUGGGUAAUGACAUGGGUGGCAGAGGAAAGAAGCUGAGUGGUGUCCACAGAACAAUCAUCCUAUCCACUGAGUCAUCCUAUCCACUGAGUCAUCCUAUCCACUGAGUUAACACAUUGGUGAGUACUCACAUGGGAUACAAAUAUCUUCACAGUUUUUGACCACUUAGAGAGGUCCAUCUGCAUGUCUUCCUCAAAUGUCUUUGUCACCAAUUUUCCAAUCAUGCUGCUUCCAAGUCCCUGACUAUCCAGCCAUCCCAUUGGCUACAGCCCAUGAGUCAGUACAUAAUCGCAUAUCUGACCAUUUCUCCUUCCAUGCAAAAUACACAGCCAGGCGCACUGCUCGAAGUUCUGCCCAUUGGGAAGAUGUCCGCUGUAUUUCAAGGAUGUCCUAGAAAGGGGCUGUAGUGCUGCAGCUGUCCACUUUCAGGUGGUGCCUGCAUAUCGUGUAGAACCGUCUGUAAACCAGGCCCUAGUCUCCUCUUCCUUUGUCGACUGAUCAUAGGGAACUCCUCAAGAAGCCAUUGGUGCAGGCUCGGGGAGAGAAGGUAGGAUGGAAGGAGUGGAGACCAUGGGCAUCUGAGCCACUUCCUCAUGUAACUUACUUGUGCCUUCAGGACCUGCUGAAGCCCAAUCACAUAUAUACCACUUCCAUUUGAUGAUGGAAUGCCGCUGUGCAUGACCCACUUUAUGGCUAGACUGGUCAGAAAGCACCCAGUUCAUGAUAGGCAGUUCAGGUUGCAUGGUGACUUGUCCCAUAGUCAAACGUUCAGUUUCCACCAAAGCUCAGUAAUAGACCAGGAGCUGUCUCUCAAAAGGAGAGUAGUUAUCUGCAGAAGAUGACAGGGCCCCUUGCUCUAAAAUCCUAAAGGUCUCUGCUGUGAUUCACCUAUGGGAGUCUGCCAAAGGCUCCAAACAGCAUCCCUCUGCCACUGACACCUGAAGCAUCAUUGGAUCUUCUGGGUCAUAUGGCCCAAGUGGCAGAAGCAGCCUGGACCUGUUGCAGAGCCUUCUGUUCUGGAACCCCACUCAAAACUGGCAGCCUUUUGGGUCACUCGAUAAAUGAACCAAACUAACACACCCAAAUGAGGGAUGUGUUGCCUCCAAAAUCCAAAUAGGCCCAGUAGGCAUUGUACCUCUUUCUUGGUCAUAGGAGCAGCCAAAUGCAGCAACUUAUCCUUUACCUUAGAGGGAGUAUCUCGGCCAGGCGCAGUGACUCAUGCCUGUAAUCCCCAGCACUUUUGGAGGUCAAGGCAGACGGAUCACUUGAUGUCAGGAGUUCGAGACCAGCCUGGUCAACAUGGUGAAACCCUGACUCUACUAAUAAUACAAAAAUUAGGCUGGGCACCGUGGCUUACCCCUGUAAUCCUAGCACUUUGGGAGGCCGAGGCGGGCAGAUCACGAGGUCAGGAGUUCGAGACCAGCCUGGCCAACUAUGGCAAAACCCCGUUUUUACUAAAAAAUAAAAAAGUUAGCCGGGCAUAAGGGGCCAGGUGCGGUGGCUCACUCCUGUAAUCACAGCACUUUGGGAGGCUGAGGCGGGUGGAACACCUGAGGUCAGAAGUUUGAAACCAGCCUGACCAACAUGGAGAAACCCCAUCUCUACUAAAAAUACAAAAUUAGCCGAGUGUGGUGGCACAUCCUGUAAUCCCAGCUACUCAGGAGGCAGAGGCAGGAGAAUCGCUUGAUCCCAGGAGGUGGAGGUUGCAGUGAGCCGAGAUUACACCAUUGCACUCCAGCCUGGUCAACAAGAGUGAAACUCCAUCUCAAAAAAAAAAAAUAUCUCAAUAGACCCCACACCACUGGACCCCUGGAAAUUUUACUGAGGUAGAAGGUCCCUGAAUUUUAGUCGAAUUUAUUUCCCAUCCUCUGGCACACAAAUGUCUCACCAAUAAGUCCAGAGUGUUUGCUACUUCUUGUUCACUGGAUUCAAUUGGCAUAAUGUCAUCAAUGUAAUGUCCCAGUGUGAUAUCUGGUGGAAGCAAAAAGUGAUCAAGGUGUCUCCGAAUACGAUUAUGACACAAAGCCGGAGAGUAAAAGUGUAUUAAUGGCCUUGCCAGAUGAAGGCAACUUGCUUCUGGUGGGCCUUAUGAACAGGAAUGGAGGAAAAGGCAUUUGUCAAGUCAAUGGCUGCACACCAGGUACCAGGAGAUGAGUUAAUUUACUCAAGCAAUGAAAUCACAUCUGGUACAGCAGCUGCAAUUGGAGUCACCACUUGGUUAAACAUAUGAUAAUCCACUGUCAUUCUCCAAGAUCCAUCUGUCUUCUGCACAGGCCAAAUGGGAGAGUUGAAUGAGGAUGUGCUAAGAAUCACCACCUCUGCGUCUUUCAAGUCCUUCAUGGUAGCACUAAUCUCUGCAAUCCCUCCAGGGAUGUGAUAUUGUUUUUGAUUUACUAUUUAUCUAGGUAGAGUCAGCUCUAUUGGCUUCCGUUUGGCCCUUCCCACCAUAAUAGGCCCUCACCCUACCAGUCAGGGAGCCACUGUGAGGGUUCUGCCAGCUGCUAAGUAUGUCUGUGCCAAUUAUGCAUUUUGGCACUGAGGAGAUGACCACAGGAUGAGUCUGGAGACCCACUGGACUCACUGUAAGUCAGACCUGAGCUAAAACUCCAUUAAUUACCUGAUCUCCAUAAGCCCUGAGUUUAACUGGAGGACCACAGUGAUGUUUUGGGUCCCCUGGAAUCAACAUCAGCUCACAGCCAGUGUCCAGUAGUCUUCAAAAUGUCUGUUCAUUUCUCUUUCCCCAGUGCACAAUUACCCUGGUAAAAGGAUGGAGGUUGGCGAGGUGCAGUGGCUCACACUUGUAAUCCCAACACUUUGGAAGGUCAAGGCAGGUGGAUCACAAGGUCAGGAGUUCAAGACCAGCCUGACCAACAUGGUGAAAUCGCAUCUCUACUAAAAAUACAAAAAAUUAAUGGGGCAUGGUGGCACAUGCCUGUAAUCCCAGCUACUCAGGAGGCUGAGGCAGGAGAAUCGCUUGAACUCGGGAGGUGGUGGUUGCAGUGAGCCGAGAUCGCACCACUGCACUCUAGCCUGGGCAACAGAGUGAGACUCCAUCUCAGAAAAAAAAAA